AGCACCUCAGCGUGACACCACGCACGUCCGUGCUUCGCACCUCCGUGCUUCGCAUUCGACCCGUGCGGCCCUCGUGUCCCAUCGCUCCUGAAUAGGGAACCAACAAGUCCACACCGUGCUUCUCGACCGUCUCAUCGACCCUCGCUUUGCCACGGCGCUCCGCGCCCUUGACUCCCAUAGGUUCGCCUCAUAAGGCCCCAUACAAACGAACCGGCCUCGCUCCGCAUCGCUAGCCACUGGCCCCUCCUUGGCUCGACCACGCCUGGCCGCUUACCCCAUUGGUCCAGUCUCUCAAGGUUCACUAUACGGAUACCGAUACCGCUUGCCUCCUUGGGUUCCGCCCCUCGAGUCUCGUAGGCCACCCGCCUUACGAAUUCUCCCUCGGCAUGCCUCCCUUUAGCGUCCCUAUCGAGUCUCGCCUCCUUGGCCUUCGUGGGCGCCGCGCCCCACGAAUCCCCGCUCGGCACCCUUGCCUUCGCGAGCCUUGUCCUUUACGGAGGACCAUCCGUCGCUAGACUAUCCCUCAUCCGCUCGUACGCUCCACUACAGAGAUCCAAGCCGGCAUAAGGUAGCGCAAGCGAUCCUAGGGAGGAAGCCUCCCGGUAUUCCCCGCUUCCGUAAUGUCGUCGACCUCUCGCGUCUCCGACAUUACCCUAGGCCCGUGUCCCUUCAACCGUCCAUUAACCGGCUACACGGAACGCUAGGCUUGGCUACUCCGCUAGCCAAGGGACGACCCAUAUCCUAUGGGUCGACGGGGGAGUCGGGGCCACUUACGAAGUGUCCACCCCUCCUCUAAUACCCUUACGAGGCAUCCACUCCUUUGGCACCCCGGGGGUACAAAGGUGCUCACCGAGGGGUACGUUUUCAAGCCCCGCAUGCGGCACCUAUUUCCAAGUCAUGGCAUGGGCCAUUGCUAGGGAAUUGCCUCCGUUGACUUGACAGCGACUCCUACCUGACGGAACGCCUCAACUCCGCAACUCCAUAACUUCGUCAACCCAAAUGCCUACCAAGUAUGGCCCACAAAGGUGUCACGGUCGAGACCCAACGAUCGACCCGUGACAGUACGGCACGAGCGGCAUUUUGAACCUUGAUAAUAAUAUUAUAAUACUAAUCCAAGUGUCGAAACGCAAAAAAUCGCGCCUGCGGUGUUUCGAUCGGCUCGUCAAAUGGCACCAAAUCCCUUUCCUCUUCUUCUUCUUCUCUUUUUCCCCUUUCUCUUCUUUCCUUUUCUCUCUAUACGUACAGGUUGAAGGUGGAGGGAAGCUUCAAGAGGCUUCCCUGGCAACUUAGUGGAAUUCCACUACGGUAACAAUAUGCCAAUAAGUCCAUAAGCCAUCAAUAUUCUCAAUUUGCUCUAAUUUCAAUUUGAUACUUUUAAUUGCAGCCCUUCUGAAUGUCCGUUUGCGGUACAACUCUUGUGGGUACUCAUGCCAUACUCGUGCCCUCUCCGCAAACAACUUUUGUCACCCCAAUGCCUCCACAAUCGCACAACGUCGAGCUCUCCCCAUGGUCUCCCCAAGCUUUCAAGCCUUUCGUCGGGACUAGCCGGCCUCGACUACUUCCUGCUCUACUGACUUCCCCACGGACUCUUGUCAUGCCUCCUGACUGCUUUGCAUUUCGACUACUUGUUGAUGCACGGCACCUUUAGCCUUUAUCCCACAAGCCUGCUCAAGCCCUACUUCGUUAGGCUCUCGCAGAACUCCACUUCGAUUCGCAAUCAAAGUGUUCGGCCAAGUUCGAGCCAAUCGGACACCUUGUCUCUUUUCGCUCGCAACUUGCCAUAUCCCAACUCUAGGGACACCACCCUCAUGAUUGAACGCUGAACGGAACUCAGUUCACUCUCUGCUUAGUCUGAACCGCAAGUCUGGUUGCCACGGCAAUGCCGCUACCCUGCGCGCACCGCCCUUACAGAACUUCGAUACCUCGACCCUUCCCGCAGCUGCGAACUGUCCAAACUCCAGCCAGCACCAUGAUCCUGGGUGAAUCCACACACCACUCAACCCGACUAAGGAUGUCUCAUCCGUCCAACUCGUGGGCACAUUGUAAAGAGCAACCGAUCUCCACACCGGCCUUCUCGCACCAAGAGAAGUACUAAGCUCUCUCGCAAUCCUAGGUCCCCUUCACAACCUAGUCCAACGCCUAGCUGUUACUACCAUGGAUUCGUCGGCCUAGACUUCCAACUUGAGCUCCACGAAGCAAACUCUUUUACCACAUGUGUUGUAUCCCACUUCCUGUCAUAGACGAGCUCCUUCACCGAGUCUUUGCGCAUGGGAGCACUUAAUGAACAAACGUGCUCCCCCACUCUGAGUCGCUCCACCACCAAGCGCACUCAGAUCUCCCCGGCAUUCUCAAUGCCCCACAUUCCGCUCUGCUAGCUCCGGCUCUGCCACAACCUUCACUAUUCCCUCAAGCGGAACCCAUGUCAUCCAUCCAAUGGAUACAUGUAUGCUACCUCGAGUCACCAACGCUGUCACCGUUCUGCUCGAAGCUAGCCUUACCACCUCACUCCGCGAGUUAAGGUUUCAACCUCAAUCCAUUCUCUCGCACAAGGAUGCCUUCUCAUUCCAUAUCAUGGGCACACUCCAAAGAGUCAUCGAUCUCCCCAUCGAUCUUCCUUUUACCAAGAGAGAAGUACUGGUUCAUCGAGUAGCCCUUUGGUAAUCCCGCAACUUUGGUCGAAGCUGCUCCCAACGAAGACUACUGCCCGUCAGACUUCAAACUCAGCUUUCACGAAGUAAACUCUUUCGCCCAGUGUUUCACCGCCCAAUCCAUAUCCUUUCGAGAAGCACCAUCGUCGAGGAUUCACAUUUGGGAAUACAUCUCCACCUUAUGUACUCCCCCACCCUGAGUCGUAAGCACCUCUGUACAACUCAGUAUCCUUGGGCAUUCGCAAUACCCAACUCCGCGGCAACCCAACCACGGACCGCAAACUGAUUCUUCCUAAUCAUUGCCCCAUCGUCUGCCACACGACUAAGGCCUUAACCAUUUCUCCAUCCUGAGAAUGACUUGGAAAUCCUCACAGGGUACCGACAUGAACUUGGCUUUCGUCCCACCACGAGUCCACACCAACAAGCACCUCCCUCGCAAGACCCGCAAUCGGCUGGGCCUCCGAGCUCCUCGCUGUUAUCUGACUCUCAUCCAUGCGUGGUGCAAGUCCGAACCGCCCGGCUUCACUCACCGCAAAGAAUUCGUGGGUAGUACCAAUAUCCAUCGCAACUUAACUCCGCAUCUCUCACAAGCGAAGUAUUGUCCCAAUGCAUUGUCGGCUCCAAGUCCUUUCGUCAGAGUGACUCUGCUCACUCCAACUUCGCCGCCAAGGUCGCACCUUUCGGCCAAACUUCCAUCCCAAAUGAGCUCAACCUGGCUCUGAUACCACUUGUCACGGGGUUAGCUUUUCCGCCUCAAAAAUCCCCGCGCGGCGCUCAAGUGUCGCACACCCGAGCCAGCCUUCUCGAGUCCCUUACACGGACAAGUCUCCCCGACUUAACAGCGGAAUACCAAUCCAAGCAUUUUGCCAAGCUUGCUCCUCCUCGAGACUUAUAGCCCGACCCUCGCCUGUAAUCGAACCCCUCGUCGGACUCCUCGAGUUCCCAACGAGCAACCCCAAUAUCGAGGUUGGCCACCAAGCUAGGUGCAUCCUGUUUUGUCAACCAAACCCUCCUCGAGAGUGCUCUGUAGCCGAAUGCCUUGUUGCCUUCCUCGCCAGCCCAAGGACAUUACAAGUUCUCCCCCAACUUGUACAAUAUGAGUAUAGCCGAGCGUCUCGCCUCCCACGCGUCUCGCUCCCGCGACUCAACCCGCACGCCUCUAGCGUCGAGGUCCGGGCUUCGCGACAUCGCAUGCCACGAAGGGCACUCAUAACCAUAAGUUCCACCAUCGUGUCUCCCGCGCCUGACAACGCCCAUGGCCAUACCGCCUACGCGGCCUGCUCGCUCGGUCCAACGGCUUACCUCCGAAAAGCCACCCAAGUGUGCGCCACAAGCUUGCUUGCCCCAACAUCAGCACCUCAGCGUGACACCACGCACGUCCGUGCUUCGCACCUCCGUGCUUCGCAUUCGACCCGUGCGGCCCUCGUGUCCCAUCGCUCCUGAAUAGGGAACCAACAAGUCCACACCGUGCUUCUCGACCGUCUCAUCGACCCUCGCUUUGCCACGGCGCUCCGCGCCCUUGACUCCCAUAGGUUCGCCUCAUAAGGCCCCAUACAAACGAACCGGCCUCGCUCCGCAUCGCUAGCCACUGGCCCCUCCUUGGCUCGACCACGCCUGGCCGCUUACCCCAUUGGUCCAGUCUCUCAAGGUUCACUAUACGGAUACCGAUACCGCUUGCCUCCUUGGGUUCCGCCCCUCGAGUCUCGUAGGCCACCCGCCUUACGAAUUCUCCCUCGGCGUGCCUCCCUUUAGCGUCCCUAUCGAGUCUCGCCUCCUUGGCCUUCGUGGGCGCCGCGCCCCACGAAUCCCCGCUCGGCACACUUGCCUUCGCGAGCCUUGUCCUUUACGGAGGACCGUCCGUCGCUAGACUAUCCCUCAUCCGCUCGUACGCUCCACUACAGAGAUCCAAGCCGGCAUAAGGUAGCGCAAGCGAUCCUAGGGAGGAAGCCUCCCGGUAUUCCCCGCUUCCGUAAUGUCGUCGACCUCUCGCGUCUCCGACAUUACCCUAGGCCCGUGUCCCUUCAACCGUCCAUUAACCGGCUACACGGAACGCUAGGCUUGGCUACUCCGCUAGCCAAGGGACGACCCAUAUCCUAUGGGUCGACGGGGGAGUCGGGGCCACUUACGAAGUGUCCACCCCUCCUCUAAUACCCUUACGAGGCAUCCACUCCUUUGGCACCCCGGGGGUACAAAGGUGCUCACCGAGGGGUACGUUUUCAAGCCCCGCAUGCGGCACCUAUUUCCAAGUCAUGGCAUGGGCCAUUGCUAGGGAAUUGCCUCCGUUGACUUGACAGCGACUCCUACCUGACGGAACGCUUCAACUCCGCAACUCCAUAACUUCGUCAACCCAAAUGCCUACCAAGUAUGGCCCACAAAGGUGUCACGGUCGAGACCCAACGAUCGACCCGUGACAGUACGGCACGAGCGGCAUUUUGAACCUUGAUAAUAAUAUUAUAAUACUAAUCCAAGUGUCGAAACGCAAAAAAUCGCGCCUGCGGUGUUUCGAUCGGCUCGUCAAAUGGCACCAAAUCCCUUUCCUCUUCUUCUU
This 5196-nucleotide long non-coding RNA is filed under the name Ananas comosus (pineapple). Its description in RNAcentral is "long non-coding RNA (ACOM_LNC008909)". Lineage: Eukaryota; Viridiplantae; Streptophyta; Magnoliopsida; Poales; Bromeliaceae. The record is from RNAcentral.